UGGGGAAUCUUGGACAAUGGGGGAAACCCUGAUCCAGCGAUGCCGCGUGUGUGAAGAAGGCCUAUGGGUUGUAAAGCACUUUUAGUGAUGAAGAAAUGCCUUGAAUGAAUAGUUCGGGGUUAUGACGUUAGUCACAGAAAAAGCACCGGCUAACUCUGUGCCAGCAGCCGCGGUAAUACAGAGGGUGCAAGCGUUAAUCGGAAUGACUGGGCGUAAAGGGCACGUAGGCGGUUCGAUAAGUUAGAUGUGAAAUACCUAGGCUUAACCUAGACUUGUCAUUUAAUACUGUCGGGCUAGAGGUCAGUAGAGGGGAGUGGAAUUUCCGGUGUAGCAGUGAAAUGCGUAGAGAUCGGAAGGAACACCAGUGGCGAAGGCGACUCUCUGGACUGAUUCUGACGCUGAGGUGCGAAAGCGUGGGGAGCAAACAGG
RNAcentral lists this ribosomal RNA (429 nucleotides) under uncultured bacterium. RNAcentral's name for it is "bacterial SSU rRNA". It matches the Rfam family "Bacterial small subunit ribosomal RNA", at positions 355 to 776 of the family's 1533-position model. The record is from RNAcentral.